GAUGAAGAACGUAGCGAAAUGCGAUAAGUAAUGUGAAUUGCAGAAUUCAGUGAAUCAUCGAAUCUUUGAACGCACCUUGCGCUCUUUGGUAUUCCGAAGAGCAUGCCUGUUUGAGUGUCAUGAAAAUAUUAACCUUGACUUGGGUUUUGUGCUCUAGUCUCGGCUUGGAAUUGGGUGCUUGCCGCUUUUACGAGCGGCUCACCUUAAAUGUAUUAGCUGGAUCUGUCUUUGAGACUUGGUUUGACUUGGCGUAAUAAGUAUUUCGCUAAGGACAUUCUUCGGAGUGGCCUCGUUUCUAGGACGCUUGUCCGCUUUCCAAUACAAGUUCCACCUCGUGGACAUGACUUUUUAUUAUCUGGCCUCAAAUCAGGUAGGACUACCCGCUGAACUUAAGCAUAUCAAUAAGCGGAGGA
RNAcentral lists this unclassified non-coding RNA (413 nucleotides) under soil metagenome. RNAcentral's name for it is "partial contains 5.8S ribosomal RNA, internal transcribed spacer 2, and large subunit ribosomal RNA". The stretch from base 1 to 120 matches the Rfam family "5.8S ribosomal RNA", at positions 35 to 154 of the family's 154-position model. The record is from RNAcentral.